Molecule: long non-coding RNA, 865 nt
Filed under: Panax ginseng (ginseng)
Lineage: Eukaryota; Viridiplantae; Streptophyta; Magnoliopsida; Apiales; Araliaceae
Description: long non-coding RNA (PGIN_LNC010361)
Source: RNAcentral
UUCAGUUGGUUGAUAAUGUUGAGUUCUUGAUGGUUUCUACUCAGUUGCUGUGUAAGCACUUGUUCUAAAGAACUGAGUAGCUGAGCAAGCUUUACAAUAUCUCAGAUCGUAGAGUUGAGCUUGAGAGAGAUGUUUACGUGGUUUGUUCAAUGCUUGCUUGGUUCUCUCUCAUCUGUCUGAUAUGCAUAUAUGUGAUCUUGAAAACUAUCCGUUGGAUCCAUCCAUUGAGACAUUAAAUGCAUUUGACUUUUCUGAUCUUUGAUGGGGACAUUUCUGCACAUCUUCUGAAACUGCAUUCUGGCCCACUGACACAGCAGACUGCUUUCUCACCUAACACCUGAAAAGGUGUUUUGCCCCCUUACCUAUGGUACUUUCCUUAGCUUCUUCAAUACGUUUCUUUGUUGCAUACUAAGGAUAUUUAAUAUUACUUUGGGACUGAUGAGUACUGCAACGUCUAGAAUCCAUUCCUCAUAUAUUGGAAUCUGUCUUUACACAUAACAUGGGGCUCGACAUUUUCUGACAUAAGACAGAUGCUCUACGAUUCAGAUCGUAGUGACAUGUCACCUUGGUGCUCGAUCUGAUGCUAUCAGCUGAGAGCACUACGAUUUCUUUUAAACCCUUGCACACUACGAUCUUCACUUGCUCGUGUUGUUACUCUACGUUUCCAAGAGCACACUAUGAUCGUUGACUUGUAAACUUCAUGUUUUCUUCAGCACACUACGAUCGUUGAGAUGGCUCGGCAAACGUUGGGACCACUCUACGAUUUUCAAAGAGUCCCUUCAAGGCAGGCACAUUACGAUCUUUGAAGCUCUACGUUUCUGCCUUGACUUCUGCAAUGUUGAUCAGAUGAUACACUACGAUUUCN